UGUGUAGGCGGUUUUCUAAGUCUGGUGUGAAAUCUCCCGGCUCAACUGGGAGGGUGCGCCGAAAACUGGAAGGCUAGAGUACUGGAUGGGUAAGUGGAAUCCCUGGUGUAGCGGUGAAAUGCGUAGAUAUCAGGAGGAACACCUGUGGUGUAGACGGCUUACUGGACAGUAACUGACGCUGAGACACGAAAGCGUGGGUAAGCAAACA
Molecule: ribosomal RNA, 208 nt
Filed under: uncultured bacterium
Lineage: Bacteria
Description: partial 16S ribosomal RNA
Rfam family: Bacterial small subunit ribosomal RNA
Source: RNAcentral